Cordylochernes scorpioides is the source of this 75-nucleotide non-coding RNA. The record is from the annotation of a GenBank genome assembly. NCBI's taxonomy places the organism in Eukaryota, Metazoa, Arthropoda, Arachnida, Pseudoscorpiones, Chernetidae.
GUCCAGGGUAGCCUAGUGGACAUGGCAUCUGCCCGGUAAGCGGAACACUGUGGGUUCGAUUCCCAUUGCUGGACA